Non-coding RNA from Dufourea novaeangliae, 45 nucleotides. Lineage: Eukaryota; Metazoa; Arthropoda; Insecta; Hymenoptera; Halictidae. The record is from Rfam.
CAAUCGGCCCUUUUCGGGGCCACGAAUUUUCCUAACGUAGGAACA